AGAGUUUGAUCCUGGCUCAGGAUGAACGCUGGCGGCGUGCCUAACACAUGCAAGUCGAACGAAGCACUCUAGUUGAUCCUUCGGGAGAUACUUUAGUGACUGAGUGGCGGACGGGUGAGUAACGCGUGGGUAACCUGCCCUGUACAGGGGGAUAACAGUCAGAAAUGACUGCUAAUACCGCAUAAGCGCACGAGAGGACAUCCUCACGUGUGAAAAACUCCGGUGGUACAGGAUGGGCCCGCGUCUGAUUAGCUAGUUGGUGGGGUAGAGGCUUACCAAGGCGUAUGGGUAUCCGGCCUGAGAGGGUGGACGGACACAUGGGAACUGAGACACGGUCCCAACUCCUACGGGAGGCAGCAGUAAGGAAUAUUGGGCAAUGGGCGAAAGCCUGACCCAGCGACACCGCGUGAAUGAUGAAGGUCUUCGGAUUGUAAAGUUCUAACAAGUAUAAGAAAGCGAGGAGUACUAAAAAUGCUUCGAGUUGAUGAAGGUACUAGAUGAAGUCAUGGCUAACUCUGUGCCAGCAGCCGCGGUAAUACAGAGAUGGCGACCGUUGUUCGGAAUCACUGGGCUUAAAGGGCACGCAGGUGGAAACAGAAGUUGAUUGUGAAAGGUAAUGGCUUACCCAUUGCACAGCAGUCAAAACCAUGUAACUAGAGUGAUGUAGGGGUGAGUGGAACUCCUGGUGGAGCGGUGAAAUGCGUUGAUAUCAGGAGGAACGCCGGAGGCGAAAGCGGCUCACUGGACAUUAACUGACACUGAGGUGCGAGAGCUAGGGGAGCAAACAGGAUUAGAUACCCUGGUAGUCCUAGCUGUAAACGAUGAGUACUAGGUAGGGGUGGGAAUCCCUGCUGGAGCGAAAGUAAUAAGUACUCCGCCUGGGGAGUAUAGUCGCAAGGCUGAAACUCAAAGGAAUUGACGGGGGCUCACACAAGCGGUGGAGUAUGUGGUUUAAUUCGAAGCAACGCGAAGAACCUUACCCAGAUUUGACAUUACUGGAUUAGUUUGCUGAAAGGUAAAUGACGCUCGCAAGAGUGGAACAGCAACAGGUGUUGCAUGGCUGUCGUCAGCUCGUGCCGUGAGGUGUUGGGUUAAGUCCUAUAACGAGCGAAACCUUUGUCCUUAGUUACCAGCGGGAGAGCCGGGGACUCUAAGGAGACUGCGCGCGUCAAGCGUGAGGAAGGUGGAGACGACGUCAAGUCAUCAUGGCCUUUAUGUCUGGGGCUACACACGUACUACAAUGAUAAGUACAAAGGGGAGCGAGACCGAGAGGUGGAGCGAAUCCGGAAAAGCUUAUCUCAGUACAGAUUGAGGGCUGCAAUUCGCCCUCAUGAAGUUGGAAUCGCUAGUAAUCGUAGGUCAGCGAUACUACGGUGAAUGUGUUCCUGAGCCUUGUACACACCGCCCGUCAAGCCACUGAAGCAGGGUUAGCCUGAAGCCAUCGACCCAACCGAGAGGGGGGAGGUGUCCAAGGAAGAUUCUGUGACAGGGACUAAGUCGUAACAAGGUAACC
This 1513-nucleotide ribosomal RNA is filed under the name uncultured rumen bacterium. RNAcentral's name for it is "bacterial SSU rRNA". It matches the Rfam family "Bacterial small subunit ribosomal RNA". The record is from RNAcentral.